This 479-nucleotide ribosomal RNA is filed under the name uncultured bacterium. RNAcentral's name for it is "partial 16S ribosomal RNA". It matches the Rfam family "Bacterial small subunit ribosomal RNA", at positions 28 to 507 of the family's 1533-position model. The record is from RNAcentral.
GAUGAACGCUGGCGGCGUGCUUAACACAUGCAAGUCGAACGAAGCACCUUGAUUCGAUUCUUCGGAUGGAGAUCUUGGUGACUGAGUGGCGGACGGGUGAGUAACGCGUGGGUAACCUGCCUCAUACAGGGGGAUAACAGUUAGAAAUGACUGCUAAUACCGCAUAAGACCACAGCACCGCAUGGUGCAGGGGUAAAAACUCCGGUGGUAUGAGAUGGACCCGCGUCUGAUUAGGUAGUUGGUGGGGUAACGGCCUACCAAGCCGACGAUCAGUAGCCGACCUGAGAGGGUGACCGGCCACAUUGGGACUGAGACACGGCCCAAACUCCUACGGGAGGCAGCAGUGGGGAAUAUUGCACAAUGGGGGAAACCCUGAUGCAGCGACGCCGCGUGAGCGAUGAAGUAUUUCGGUAUGUAAAGCUCUAUCAGCAGGGAAGAAAAUGACGGUACCUGACUAAGAAGCACCGGCUAAAUACGUG